GAUGAACGCUGGCGGCGUGCCUAAUACAUGCAAGUCGAGCGAACGGACGAGAAGCUUGCUUCUCUGAUGUUAGCGGCGGACGGGUGAGUAACACGUGGAUAACCUACCUAUAAGACUGGGAUAACUUCGGGAAACCGGAGCUAAUACCGGAUAAUAUUUUGAACCGCAUGGUUCAAAAGUGAAAGACGGUCUUGCUGUCACUUAUAGAUGGAUCCGCGCUGCAUUAGUUAGUUGGUAAGGUAACGGCUUACCAAGGCAACGAUGCAUAGCCGACCUGAGAGGGUGAUCGGCCACACUGGAACUGAGACACGGUCCAGACUCCUACGGGAGGCAGCAGUAGGGAAUCUUCCGCAAUGGGCGAAAGCCUGACGGAGCAACGCCGCGUGAGUGAUGAAGGUCUUCGGAUCGUAAAACUCUGUUAUUAGGGAAGAACAUAUGUGUAAGUAACUGUGCACAUCUUGACGGUACCUAAUCAGAGAGCCACGGCUAACUACGUG
This 497-nucleotide ribosomal RNA is filed under the name uncultured bacterium. RNAcentral's name for it is "partial 16S ribosomal RNA". It matches the Rfam family "Bacterial small subunit ribosomal RNA", at positions 28 to 507 of the family's 1533-position model. The record is from RNAcentral.